RNAcentral lists this ribosomal RNA (342 nucleotides) under uncultured bacterium. RNAcentral describes it as "bacterial SSU rRNA". It matches the Rfam family "Bacterial small subunit ribosomal RNA", at positions 28 to 368 of the family's 1533-position model. The record is from RNAcentral.
GAUGAACGCUAGCGGCAGGCCUAAUACAUGCAAGUCGAGGGGCAGCGGGUGUAGCAAUACAUGCCGGCGACCGGCGCACGGGUGCGUAACGCGUAUGCAACUUACCUCUAACAGGGGAAUAGCCCCGAGAAAUCGGGAUUAAUACCUCAUAACAUUUAUCAUUCGCAUGUUUGAUAAAUUAAAGCUCCGGCGGUUAGAGAUGGGCAUGCGUGACAUUAGCUAGUUGGUGAGGUAACGGCUCACCAAGGCUACGAUGUCUAGGGGUUCUGAGAGGACAUUCCCCCCACACUGGUACUGAGACACGGACCAGACUCCUACGGGAGCAGCAGUAAGGAUAUUGGG